RNAcentral lists this non-coding RNA (30 nucleotides) under Mus musculus (house mouse). Lineage: Eukaryota; Metazoa; Chordata; Mammalia; Rodentia; Muridae. The record is from RNAcentral.
CCAGCCUGAAACCUGCUUGCUCAGGGUGGA